RNAcentral lists this ribosomal RNA (326 nucleotides) under uncultured eukaryote. RNAcentral's name for it is "partial 18S ribosomal RNA". It matches the Rfam family "Eukaryotic small subunit ribosomal RNA", at positions 1470 to 1796 of the family's 1831-position model. The record is from RNAcentral.
CCCUUAGAUGUUCUGGGCCGCACGCGCGCUACACUGAAGGGAUCAGCGUGUUUUCCCUUUCCGAGAGGAACGGGUAACCCGCUGAACCCCCUUCGUGGUAGGGAUCGGAGCUUGCAAUUGUUCUCCGUGAACCAGGAAUUCCCAGUAAGCGCAAGUCAUAAGCUUGCGUUGAUUACGUCCCUGCCCUUUGUACACACCGCCCGUCACUACUACCGAUUGAACGUUUUAGUGAGGUAUUUGGACUGGGCCUUGGGAGGUUUCGGCCUCCCUUGUUGCUCGGAAAGACUCCCAAACUUGAGCGUUUAGAGGAAGUAAAAGUCGUAACA